This 1003-nucleotide long non-coding RNA is filed under the name Salmo salar (Atlantic salmon). RNAcentral describes it as "lncRNA (ENSSSAG00000108457.1)". The record is from RNAcentral. Lineage: Eukaryota; Metazoa; Chordata; Actinopteri; Salmoniformes; Salmonidae.
GUUUAUGUCUUCAUUCAUUCUUAUAUCUGUCAUGUUUUCUUAGAGGUGGUUCAGAUCCUUGUUUAGGUUCUUGUUUAGCAGUACCAGUCUGCCAGUCUUGUUCCGGAUAUUUAGUCUGUAGCAGUACCAGUCUGCCAGUCUUGUUUAGGUUAUUUAGUCUGUAGCAGUACUAGUCUGCCAGUCUUGUUCCGGAUAUUUAGUCUGUAGCAAUACCAGUCUGCCAGUCUUUGCCAGAUGAGCUGGACUGUGGCCUGGAAUGUUGAUUUGGGGGGUGGAAUUUGUGAAAUUGGUGUUGGAUGGGAACCUGCCUGCAUCGUGUGUUGGAUGGGAACCUGCCUGCAUCGUGUGUUGUGCAUCUAAAUCAGAUUAUAUUUCCUCUUCCCUUUUCUCUUUUCUCCUCUCCUUCCCAUCCUCUUUCCUCUCCUCCCUCUUUCUCUCCUUUUUCUUCUAUUUUCUUCUCCUCUUCUGUCCUCUGCCCUUCCUCUCAUCUUGUCUUUCUUCCCCUGUUCUCUCUCCUCUCCUCUCUCUUCAUCUCUCCUAUUUUCUCCUUUCCUCUCUCUCCUGUCCUCUCCUCUCCUUUCUCUCCUAAUCUCCUUUCUCCUCUCUGUCUCCUUUCUCUCCUCUCCUCCCUGUCAAAGGAGCAACACUAUGGCAACAGUGAGUCAUCCUCUAUAACACAGCCAACCAAUUAAACGCAGAGUUAGUCUUAUAAAAAAAAUAUUAAAAAAAUACUAUUUUGCCAGGCAACAACCAGUGGUGUUCCAGAACUUAAUUUACUUCAGGAAUUACCUGCCGCCCCACGCAAGGCAGCCACACGGUAAUGCCAUGGCACACUGAAAGAGGGCAUGUAAGAUUAUGUGAAUAUGUGUCAUUGCCAUGACUGCACUUAAAUGCACUCCACAGACGUUUUAACUGGUCUAGACUCUAGACCAUUCAUUCCAACUGGCAUAAUCAUGUGAAUGCAUGAUUCUUUUAGUUUUAUUCACCAGAGCAGGAAGCGACG